RNAcentral lists this ribosomal RNA (253 nucleotides) under uncultured bacterium. RNAcentral's name for it is "partial 16S ribosomal RNA". It matches the Rfam family "Bacterial small subunit ribosomal RNA", at positions 524 to 776 of the family's 1533-position model. The record is from RNAcentral.
UACGAACCGGACAAACGUUACUCGGAAUUACUGGGCUUAAAGGGUGCGUAGGCUGCGCGGAGGGUGGGAUGUGAAAUCCCUCGGCUUAACCGAGGAAUAGCGUCCCAAACCGCCGUGCUCGAGGAAGACAGAGGUGAGCGGAACUGAUGGUGGAGCGGUGAAAUGCGUUGAUAUCAUCAGGAACACCAGUGGCGAAGGCGGCUCACUGGGUCUUCCCUGACGCUGAGGCACGAAAGCUAGGGGAGCGAACGGG